Molecule: ribosomal RNA, 467 nt
Filed under: uncultured bacterium
Lineage: Bacteria
Description: partial 16S ribosomal RNA
Rfam family: Bacterial small subunit ribosomal RNA
Source: RNAcentral
GACGAACGCUGGCGGCGUGCUUAACACAUGCAAGUCGAACGGAAAGGCCUCUUUCGGGGGGUACUCGCGUGGCGAACGGGUGAGUAACACGUGAGUAACCUGCCCUUGUCUUUGGGAUAACUUAAGUAAACUAGGGCUAAUACCGGAUAGGAGCUACUGCUGCAUGGUGGGGGUUGGAAAGUUUCGGCGGUUGGGGAUGGACUCGCGGCGUAUCAGCUUGUUGGUGGGGUAGUGGCUUACCAAGGCUUUGACGGGUAGACGGCCUGUGAGGGUGACCGGCCACAUUGGGACUGAGAUACGGCCCAGACUCCUACGGGAGGCAGCAGUGGGGAAUAUUGCACAAUGGGUGGAAGCCGGAUGCAGCAACGCCGUGUGCGGGAUGACGGCCUUCUGGUUGUAAACCGCUUGCGCUCAUGACGAAGCUUUGUGUGACGGUAGUGGGUAAAGAAGCACCGGCUAACUACGUG